GGAUGAACGUUGGCGGCGUGCCUAAUACAUGCAAGUCGAACGAAGACUGUAGUAAUACUGUCUUAGUGGCGAACGGGUGAGUAACGCGUGGGUGACCUGCCCCGAAGUGUGGGAUAACAGUUCGAAAGGAUUGCUAAUACUGCAUAAUAUCCAAGAGAUUAGACGCUUUUGGAUUAAAGGAGUAAUUCGCUUCGGGAGGGGCCCGCGUCCCAUCAGCUAGUUGGUAAGGUAACGGCUUACCAAGGCGAUGACGGGUAGGGGACCUGAGAGGGUGGCCCCCCACAAUGGAACUGAAACACGGUCCAUACACCUACGGGUGGCAGCAGUAGGGAAUAUUAGUAAUGGGCGAAAGCCUGAACUAGCAACGCCGCGUGUGCGAAGAAGGCCUUCGGGUCGUAAAGCACUUUUUGAGAGGAUGAGGAAGGACGGUACUCUCAGAAUAAGUCUCGGCUAACUACGUGCCAGCAGCCGCGGUAACACGUAGGAGGCAAACGUUAUCCGGAUUUACUGGGCGUAAAGCGCGUGUAGGUGGUUUGGUAAGUAGGGCGUGAAAGCUCCUGGCUCAACUGGGAGAGGACGUUCUAAACUGCCAAGCUUGAGGAUGGUAGAGGGAGGUGGAAUUCCGGGUGUAGCGGUGGAAUGCGCAGAUAUCCGGAGGAACACCAGUGGCGAAGGCGGCCUCCUGGACCACUCCUGACACUCAGACGCGAAAGCUAGGGUAGCAAACGGGAUUAGAGACCCCGGUAGUCCUAGCCCUAAACGAUGUAGACUUGGCGUCGGUGGUUUAAUCGCCAUCGGUGUCGUAGCUAACGCGAUAAGUCUACCGCCUGGGGACUACGGCCGCAAGGUUAAAACUCAUAGGAAUUGACGGGUCCCCGCACAAGCAGCGGAGCGUGUGGUUUAAUUCGAUGCUACACGAAGAACCUUACCUGGGUUUGACAUAGAGGUAGUAGGGAAGCGAAAGCGGACCGACCCUUCGGGGAGCCUCUACAGGUGUUGCAUGGCUGUCGUCAGCUCGUGUCGUGAGAUGUUCGGUUAAGUCCGCUAACGAGCGCAACCCUCAUCCUUAGUUGCCAUCAUUAAGUUGGGCACCCUAAGGAAACUGCCGCAGUUAAUGCGGAGGAAGGUGGGGAUGACGUCAAGUCCUCAUGGCCCUUAUAUCCAGGGCUACACACGUGCUACAAUGGGCGGCACAAAGGGUUGCGAACCCGCGAGGGGGAGCUAAUCCCACAAAUCCGCUCCUAGUUCGGAUUGGACUCUGCAACUCGAGUCCAUGAAGCUGGAAUCGCUAGUAAUCGCGGAUCAGCAUGCCGCGGUGAAUACGUUCCCGGGCCU
RNAcentral lists this ribosomal RNA (1335 nucleotides) under uncultured bacterium. Its description in RNAcentral is "bacterial SSU rRNA". It matches the Rfam family "Bacterial small subunit ribosomal RNA", at positions 27 to 1381 of the family's 1533-position model. The record is from RNAcentral.